GACGAACGCUGGCGGCGUGCUUAACACAUGCAAGUCGAACGAUGAAGCUGGAGCUUGCUCCGGUGGAUUAGUGGCGAACGGGUGAGUAACACGUGAGCAAUCUGCCCUUGACUCUGGGAUAACUGCGGGAAACUGUAGCUAAUACCGGAUACGAGGCUCGAAGGCAUCUUCGGGUUUGGAAAGAAUUUCGGUCAAGGAUGAGCCCGCGGCCUAUCGGCUUGUUGGUGAGGUAAUGGCUCACCAAGGCGACGACGGGUAGCCGGCCUGAGAGGGUGACCGGCCACACUGGGACUGAGACACGGCCCAGACUCCUACGGGAGGCAGCAGUGGGGAAUAUUGCACAAUGGGCGAAAGCCUGAUGCAGCAACGCCGCGUGAGGGAUGAAGGCCUUCGGGUUGUAAACCUCUUUUAGCAGGGAAGAAGCGAAAGUGACGGUACCUGCAGAAAAAGCACCGGCUAACUACGUGCCAGCCGCCGCAGUAA
RNAcentral lists this ribosomal RNA (483 nucleotides) under uncultured bacterium. RNAcentral's name for it is "partial 16S ribosomal RNA". It matches the Rfam family "Bacterial small subunit ribosomal RNA", at positions 28 to 523 of the family's 1533-position model. The record is from RNAcentral.